RNAcentral lists this ribosomal RNA (598 nucleotides) under Colletotrichum gloeosporioides. Its description in RNAcentral is "eukaryotic LSU rRNA". The stretch from base 227 to 380 matches the Rfam family "5.8S ribosomal RNA". Lineage: Eukaryota; Fungi; Ascomycota; Sordariomycetes; Glomerellales; Glomerellaceae. The record is from RNAcentral.
GGAAGUAAAAGUCGUAACAAGGUCUCCGUUGGUGAACCAGCGGAGGGAUCAUUACUGAGUUUACGCUCUACAACCCUUUGUGAACAUACCUAUAACUGUUGCUUCGGCGGGUAGGGUCUCCGUGACCCUCCCGGCCUCCCGCCCCCGGGCGGGUCGGCGCCCGCCGGAGGAUAACCAAACUCUGAUUUAACGACGUUUCUUCUGAGUGGUACAAGCAAAUAAUCAAAACUUUUAGCAACGGAUCUCUUGGUUCUGGCAUCGAUGAAGAACGCAGCGAAAUGCGAUAAGUAAUGUGAAUUGCAGAAUUCAGUGAAUCAUCGAAUCUUUGAACGCACAUUGCGCCCGCCAGCAUUCUGGCGGGCAUGCCUGUUCGAGCGUCAUUUCAACCCUCAAGCUCUGCUUGGUGUUGGGGCCCUACAGCUGAUGUAGGCCCUCAAAGGUAGUGGCGGACCCUCCCGGAGCCUCCUUUGCGUAGUAACUUUACGUCUCGCACUGGGAUCCGGAGGGACUCUUGCCGUAAAACCCCCAAUUUUCCAAAGGUUGACCUCGGAUCAGGUAGGAAUACCCGCUGAACUUAAGCAUAUCAAUAAGCGGAGGA